CUGCGCUCUCCUUCGCCUGCGGGCCGGCACUGCUCACCUCUCGUCCAGAGACAUGACGGGCACGCCAGGCGCCGCUGCCACCCGGGAUGGCGAGGCCCCCGAGCGCUCCCCGCCCUGCCGUCCGAGCUACGACCUCACGGGCAAGAACAAGGUGGUGACCGUGGAUGGCGUGAGAGUGAAGCUGCAGAUCUGGGACACCGCUGGGCAGGAACGGUUCCGAAGCGUCACCCAUGCUUAUUACAGAGACGCCCAGGCCUUGCUUCUGCUGUAUGACAUCACCAACAAAUCUUCUUUCGACAACAUCAGGGCCUGGCUCACUGAGAUUCAUGAGUAUGCGCAGAGGGACGUGGUGAUCAUGCUGCUGGGCAACAAGGUGAGUGGCUCCUGGGCAGGGUCAGCCCAGCCCUGCACUUCCUCAGCCCUAGCCAGCCCCAUAACCACCCAAGAACAGUUAUCUAGUCAUCCUUCCUGAAAAGGACUCUGCAGCCUCCAGCUCAGGGGUCAGACAUAUCUGGAGGCUUCUGCCCAUCCCAUCUGCCCCUUCCAGGGAAAGUCCAAG
Molecule: small RNA, 559 nt
Filed under: Pongo abelii (Sumatran orangutan)
Lineage: Eukaryota; Metazoa; Chordata; Mammalia; Primates; Hominidae
Description: retained intron
Source: RNAcentral